Molecule: ribosomal RNA, 359 nt
Filed under: uncultured eukaryote
Lineage: Eukaryota
Description: LSU rRNA
Rfam family: Bacterial large subunit ribosomal RNA
Source: RNAcentral
GCUCUCAGCUUAUUUUGCGCAGCUUAGGUGGGAGACGUUGAACUUCUUUUUCCGGAAAGGAGGGAGUCAUCAGUGAGAUACCACUCUUGGUAAGCUAGAGCGCUCAUUUCUAACCGUUAUCCGGUAGAAAGACAGUUUCAGGCGGGCAGUUUGACUGGGGCAGUCACCUCCCAAAAGGUAAUGGAGGUGUACAAAGGUUCGCUCAGGCUGGACGGAAAUCAGCCAUAGAGUGUAAAAGCAUAAGCGAGCUUGACUGCGAGACUGACAUGUCAAGCAGAGACGAAAGUCGGUUUUAGUGAUCCGACGGUGCUGAGUGGAAAGGCCGUCGCUCAACGGAUAAAAGUUACUCUAGGGAUAAC